AGUGAACGCUGGCGGUAGGCCUAACACAUGCAAGUCGAACGGCAGCACAGUAAGAGCUUGCUCUUACGGGUGGCGAGUGGCGGACGGGUGAGGAAUACAUCGGAAUCUACUUUUUCGUGGGGGAUAACGUAGGGAAACUUACGCUAAUACCGCAUACGACCUACGGGUGAAAUCAGGGGUUCUUCGGACCUUGCGUGACAGAUUGAGCCGAUGUCGGAUUAGCUAGUUGGCGGGGUAAAGGCCCACCAAGGCGACGAUCCGUAGCUGGUCUGAGAGGAUGAUCAGCCACACUGGAACUGAGACACGGUCCAGACUCCUACGGGAGGCAGCAGUGGGGAAUAUUGGACAAUGGGCGCAAGCCUGAUCCAGCCAUGCCGCGUGGGUGAAGAAGGCCUUCGGGUUGUAAAGCCCUUUUGUUGGGAAAGAAAAGCAGCAGGUUAAUACCCCGCUGUUCUGACGGUACCCAAAGAAUAAGCACCGGCUAACUUCGUG
This 492-nucleotide ribosomal RNA is filed under the name uncultured bacterium. Its description in RNAcentral is "partial 16S ribosomal RNA". It matches the Rfam family "Bacterial small subunit ribosomal RNA", at positions 29 to 507 of the family's 1533-position model. The record is from RNAcentral.